This 133-nucleotide small RNA is filed under the name uncultured Enterobacter sp. RNAcentral describes it as "Enterobacteria sRNA STnc130". It matches the Rfam family "Enterobacteria sRNA STnc130". The record is from RNAcentral. Lineage: Bacteria; Pseudomonadati; Pseudomonadota; Gammaproteobacteria; Enterobacterales; Enterobacteriaceae.
UAUAACGUAAAAACGUUAACGCCGCGUUUUGUGCUACUAAACUGCGAGAGGAGUAUUACUACUUCAGGAGUACUGGGUAUUGUUUCGAGUCAAAACAAGGGGAUAAAAAAAGCGCCCGCAGGCGCUUUUUAGA